RNAcentral lists this ribosomal RNA (375 nucleotides) under uncultured organism. RNAcentral's name for it is "partial 16S ribosomal RNA". It matches the Rfam family "Bacterial small subunit ribosomal RNA", at positions 527 to 896 of the family's 1533-position model. The record is from RNAcentral.
GUAGGUGGCAAGCGUUGUCCGGAAUUAUUGGGCGUAAAGCGCGCGCAGGCGGUUCUUUAAGUCUGAUGUGAAAGCCCACGGCUCAACCGUGGAGGGUCAUUGGAAACUGGAGAACUUGAGUACAGAAGAGGAAAGCGGAAUUCCACGUGUAGCGGUGAAAUGCGUAGAGAUGUGGAGGAACACCAGUGGCGAAGGCGGCUUUCUGGUCUGUAACUGACGCUGAGGCGCGAAAGCGUGGGGAGCAGACAGGAUUAGAUACCCUGGUAGUCCACGCCGUAAACGAUGAGUGCUAAGUGUUAGGGGGGUUUUCCGCCCCCCUUAGUGCUGCAGCUAACGCAUUAAGCACUCCGCCCUGGGAGUACGGCCGCAAGGCUG